GAUGAACGCUGGCGGCGUGCCUAAUACAUGCAAGUCGAGCGAAUGGAUUAAGAGCUUGCUCUUAUGAAGUUAGCGGCGGACGGGUGAGUAACACGUGGGUAACCUGCCCAUAAGACUGGGAUAACUCCGGGAAACCGGGGCUAAUACCGGAUAACAUUUUGAACCGCAUGGUUCGAAAUUGAAAGGCGGCUUCGGCUGUCACUUAUGGAUGGACCCGCGGCGCAUUAGCUAGUUGGUGAGGUAACGGCUCACCAAGGCAACGAUGCGUAGCCGACCUGGGAGGGGUGUCGGCCACACUGGGACUGAGACACGGCCCAGACUCCUACGGGAGGCAGCAGUAGGGAAUCUUCCGCAAUGGACGAAAGUCUGACGGAGCAACGCCGCGUGAGUGAUGAAGGCUUUCGGGUCGUAAAACUCUGUUGUUAGGGAAGAACAAGUGCUAGUUGAAUAAGCUGACACCUUGACGGUACCUAACCAGAAAGCCACGGCUAACUACGUGCCAGCCGCCGCAGUAA
This 515-nucleotide ribosomal RNA is filed under the name uncultured bacterium. RNAcentral describes it as "partial 16S ribosomal RNA". It matches the Rfam family "Bacterial small subunit ribosomal RNA", at positions 28 to 523 of the family's 1533-position model. The record is from RNAcentral.